Molecule: long non-coding RNA, 1327 nt
Filed under: Podarcis muralis (Common wall lizard)
Lineage: Eukaryota; Metazoa; Chordata; Lepidosauria; Squamata; Lacertidae
Description: lncRNA (ENSPMRG00000013594.1)
Source: RNAcentral
GUUGCCUUCUGCUUUGGGAAGGAAAGGAACAGAGCAGCUGAGGAACACAAGGCAGAAAGAGCUCUGAAGGAAAGGACAAAUACUGUACAUCUCAAUAAGAAACACAUUGGCCUCUUCAAAAUGAGUGUCUUGUCUCGAAAUCUGCCUGGUCAAGGAUCCGAGUGAAUGCUGCGUGUGGGUCUGGCUCUGCUUCCACAGUGAAUCUUGCUCCUGCCAUCAUCACCUGCUCCUCCUAGAAGUCCAUAAGAAGAGCGCUGAUGAAUCAGGCCAGUGGCCAGGUACGCAUAGAGGAGAAAUUCUGCGGAGCUGGAGAGGAGAGCGAGAGAGCGCUGAAUGCAAAAGCCUGCCUGCGAGGAAGAGUGGGGAGAAGGACUCUUCAGGCAUUUAAACUGGGGAUGAGGAAGCUGUGGUCCUCCAUGCACGGUUGGACGAUGACUUCCAUUGUCCCUGAUCAUUGGCCAGGCUUGCUGGGGCUGAUGGGAGCUGGAGUCUGGUUCCCCAUCCCACAUUUGUGUGGCAGAGCUGCUCUGUCCUCGUCUGGGAGAGAAGAAAGCUUCCGGGAAAGGACUGCUUCCCUAUCGAGGGCUAGACAGCCUCUGGCUGCAACUUGGAGAAAGUGGGCCUGCUUUUCCUUUCUCCCUCCUAUUUCUUUUUCGCUGUGUGCUGCGUAAUUUUAGAUUACCAUCUUAAGAGCAGGCACCUUCAUAGAACUGCUUUUCUGAGAGCCCUUUUUCAUUACUAAAGGGCAAGGAAAAAAUACUGUAAAUAAAUAAAUAGAUGCACACAUGCAUGUAAACCAUGUUUUGGUUCUGAGGACAUCUUUGCUGCCCAGAGGGCUGUCACUGAGCUUGGGCCAAGCUCUGCUUAGACAUCAGAAGCUGCUUCAUAUCCCAGGCCUGUUUGUCCAUCAAAAUGAAAUGGACUUAUUCAACCAUUCCUAUCUCAGGCAGGCCUGAGGAAGACUCCUGCCUGAAAUCCUGGAGAGCUGUGGCUGGCCAGUAUUGACAGAGUUGAGCUGGAUGGGCCAAUGGUCAGAUAAUGGGGAUGAUGGUGAUGAUGGUGAUGAUAAUAAUAAUAAUAAUAAUAAUAAUAAUAAUAAUAAUAAUGUAUUAUUUGUACUCUACCCAUCUGACUGGGUUUCCCCAGCCACUCUGGGCAGCUCCCAAUAGAAUAUUAAAAACACCAUUGUCAGGGAACUGCCAUCAGUGCCGGAGGGAGAGAGCGAGCUCCAGAGGGAUCCCAGAGAGCGUCCCGGGAUUGGGAGAAGCAGCCCAUCUUCUGGGGAAGGGAAUCAGCUUAGCUCCAGUGGAGAAGGGGGGCAGAUGGG